Long non-coding RNA from Megalopta genalis, 677 nucleotides. RefSeq lists it as uncharacterized. NCBI's taxonomy places the organism in Eukaryota, Metazoa, Arthropoda, Insecta, Hymenoptera, Halictidae. The record is from RefSeq and is a predicted model, not a curated record.
GCUGACUUUGUACCUUGUUUUGAAUGUUCUAUUUAAAGAAUUCAUUGGUGUUGACGUCUUAUUGAAACUAUCCAAUGUUCUAUUACGUACUUCCGAGGACAUCAAUUUCUUCCGUAGUUCAAUGUUCUCCAUCUUCAGCUUGUUAUACUUAUCUUUACAGAAUUGUAUACUUUGUGUAACAUUGUAGUAGAAACGUUGUAUCACAAUUUUCAUUUGAUUAUAUUGAAAGCCAAAAAUUGUGUUCAGAGAUUCCAACGAUUCAUUAAUUGGUACAAACAAAUUUUGUACUCUGGAUAAAGAAGGUUGUUGCAAUUCUACAGAGAAGAUGUCUACUUGUUGGCAUUGCGGGCAAUGUUUCUCAGCUGCAUUGCAAACAAAUUUGUAGUUAUCAAAGUAGAAAUGUUUAUUACACAGGGUAUAACAUUUUACUGGAACAUCUCAAGUAUUCAGUUUAUCAUAAGUAUUAAAAAAAAACAUUCAGUGGAAAAGUUAUGGGCUUGAAAUGGCAAACGUUGUGGUAAGCAAACAAUUUCAAUAUCGAUGCAUGUUCAAAAGAGAGUGAACACUUUUAUUACAUAUAACAUCUAUCUUAGUGAUAAUAUAAUAUAAAUUACAUUGUAUAUGUAUUGUAAUAAAUAUUUUUAAUGUUGUGUAACUUCUUUUCCAAAUCAUUACAA